AAUUCGAUGCAACGCGAAGAACCUUACCUGGUCUUGACAUCCCGGAGACCCUUAGGAAACUAGGGGUGCUUCCAUCUGGAAGAAUCUGGAGACAGGUGCUGCAUGGCUGUCGUUAGCUCGUGUCGUGAGAUGUUGGGUUAAGUCCCGCAACGAGCGCAACCCUUGCCUUUAGUUGCCAGCAGUUCGGCUGGGCACUCUAAAGGGACUGCCGGUGUUAAACCGGAGGAAGGUGGGGAUGACGUCAAGUCCUCAUGGCCUUUAUGACCAGGGCUACACACGUACUACAAUGGCCGAUACAAAGGGCAGCGACACUGCGAGGUGAAGCCAAUCCCGUAAAAUCGGUCUCAGUCCGGAUUGGAGUCUGCAACUCGACUCCAUGAAGUUGGAAUCGCUAGUAAUCGUGGAUCAGCAUGCCACGGUGAAUACGUUCCCGGGCCUU
Molecule: ribosomal RNA, 439 nt
Filed under: uncultured Desulfobulbus sp.
Lineage: Bacteria; Pseudomonadati; Thermodesulfobacteriota; Desulfobulbia; Desulfobulbales; Desulfobulbaceae
Description: bacterial SSU rRNA
Rfam family: Bacterial small subunit ribosomal RNA
Source: RNAcentral